RNAcentral lists this ribosomal RNA (392 nucleotides) under uncultured bacterium. RNAcentral describes it as "partial 16S ribosomal RNA". It matches the Rfam family "Bacterial small subunit ribosomal RNA", at positions 523 to 918 of the family's 1533-position model. The record is from RNAcentral.
AUACGGAGGAUGCGAGCGUUAUCCGGAUUUAUUGGGUUUAAAGGGAGCGUAGGCGGGAGCUUAAGUCAGCGGUUAAAUGGUGCGGCUCCACCGUGCCCUGCCGUUGAAACUGGGUUUCUUGAGAGUGCAAGAGGCGGAUGGAAUUCAUGGUGUAGCGGGUAAAUGCUUAGAUAUCAUGAAGAACUCCGAUUGCGAAGGCAGUCCGCUGGGGCACGUCUGACGCUGAUGCUCGAAGGUGCGGGGAUCAAACAGGAUUAGAUACCCUGGUAGUCCGCACGGUAAACGAUGAUUACCCGCUGUCGGCGGUAGACAGUCGGCGGCCAAGCGAAAGCGAUAAGUAAUCCACCUGGGGAGUACGCCGGCAACGGUGAAACUCAAAGGAAUUGACGGGG